GCUGGGCGUGGUAGCGGGCACCUGUAAUCCCAGCUACUCAGGAGGCUGAGGCAGGAGAAUCACUUGAACCCGGGAGGCAGAGGUUGCAGUGAGCUGAGAUCACGCCACUGCACUCUAGCCUGGGCAACAAAGAGAGACUCUGUAAAAAAAAAAAAAAAAAAAAAAUCCAUAAUAUUGAUUUUAAUCUUUUUUUUUUUUUUUUUUUUUUUUACAGAGUCUCUCUUUGUUGCCCAGGCUAGAGUGCAGUGGCGUGACCUCAGCUCACUGCAACCUCUGCCUCCCGGGUUCAAGUGAUUCUCCUGCCUCAG
Molecule: signal recognition particle RNA, 308 nt
Filed under: Chlorocebus sabaeus (green monkey)
Lineage: Eukaryota; Metazoa; Chordata; Mammalia; Primates; Cercopithecidae
Description: Metazoan signal recognition particle RNA
Rfam family: Metazoan signal recognition particle RNA
About the family: The signal recognition particle (SRP) is a universally conserved ribonucleoprotein. It is involved in the co-translational targeting of proteins to membranes. The eukaryotic SRP consists of a 300-nucleotide 7S RNA and six proteins: SRPs 72, 68, 54, 19, 14, and 9.
Source: Rfam by way of RNAcentral